RNAcentral lists this ribosomal RNA (1646 nucleotides) under Triticum aestivum (bread wheat). Its description in RNAcentral is "partial small subunit ribosomal RNA". Lineage: Eukaryota; Viridiplantae; Streptophyta; Magnoliopsida; Poales; Poaceae. The record is from RNAcentral.
AGGCUCUCUGCCUUCCCAACUUGUACCUGAUAAUUCUAUGGGAUUUAGACAAACGUGCUUCGGCAAAAGAAAUAUCAAACGAUAAGCUUAUCCCCUCCCGCGUCGCUCCCGCGGGCGACGGGGAGGACGACCGCACCAUCGCCGCCAGCACACCCCUCCUCCCGCUUCCUUCUCGCCGCCGCCGGUGGCGGGCCCCUCUGGUUUCAGUCGGGGGCUGCAGGCAGGCUGGGGCUGGUCGUGAUGGAUGUGUGCCGGAUGGAUCUGGCGCUUUUUUCGGGCGGGCAACGCAGGUUGGGGCAGCGGCCCGGUGUGCGGCUGCUCCGGCUGUGGGCGGCGGCGGCGAGGUGGCUCGUCUCUCUUGGUGUGGCGGCUUCCUUUCGCUGUGUCCGCAUCACGGCAGUUUGGCAGGUCGGCUGCGGCGCCGGCUUGUUUUUCGGCGGCCCGUUUCGACCUUCAGUCCCUCUCCUCGUCGUCGGGUCGCUACCCUCGUCGAAGGUUCGGCCCUCCCCCGGCUACGAUCUAUCGCUCGUCUCACGCUCGGCUGCAGGACCGAGCUCGUCUCGCGCCCGGCAGCAGGACGAGUCGAUGGAGGCAUUGGGGGCAGCCCGGGGGUGCGAAAGGCGGGUCCUUUCUGCCCACAUCUUUGGUGGGGGUAGCGGUGGGUCUCAAGUGAGGUGGGGUCCGGGUCUUGGAUGUCGCGGCGGCGGCCCUGGUGGUGGUUUCGCGGUGCUCAUGGGCAGAGCCUGUGGCUAGGUGCUGCCCGGUGGCCAUGGUCGUGUGAGCGGCGCGGUCGCUGGGAUGUGGCGUUCGGUGGUGGUGAUUGUUGGCCGGGGUGAAAACCUGUUCUAUCUUCGGACGGACCGGCAACGGCGAAGCUCGUUCCCUUCUUGAAGGCGUCGUCGUGGCUCUCAUUACCCGUCGUGUUGCUCCAGGGGAAACUCUGAUCCUCGGGUCAAGCGGUGGCGGCGCUCCGUUGUCGUAUCCUUCCUGAAGGCGCCGUCUUGGAGCAGAUGGUUCGUCGUAUGUGGCUUCAUCUCUUCGCGGUGGCGUGUUCACGGUUAAGGACCCUGGUUGCUCUUGCAGCGCUAGGGUUGUUGUUGCGCUCAGCGCCUAUGUAUCAUGUCUUGGGUGUGUGCGUGUGUGGUGUUGGCGGGUGUUUGUACCGGGUUGUCGAGAAUCAUAGGGUUGUCGAGAAUCAUAGCUUUAUAUAUAAAGCGGGGCGAAAGCCUUUUUAGGUAUAAGUUGAUACAAAAAUGGCACUUAGCUUCAUCAUGAAUCCCAGGGAAGGAGUUAAUGUAAGGGAACUGGAGGCCCCAAACAAAGGUUUUGGCAUAACAGAAAAUACAAAGUAACACAAAGGCUAUGCUGCUCUGCUAGCUAUUACAUGUUUCCACCUAUAAGUACAUACUCGAUACAACUAUAUAACACCCGCCCAACGCUGUCUUCAUAGCAGUAGCAGAGCACGGGAUUGCGUGGGAUUUAGGGACGACGACGAACCUUGUGCAAGGGCACAGCAAAUUAGGUUGGGAGGAACUGUUGCUGCACAAGCCGCCAUGUCCAAAAAUGGCAGACUGUCGGCAAGAUCAGGCAUGGCAGCGUGGGGCUCGAGCAGUCGCCGGAGCAUGGUGGGGAAGGGGAUGAGGCGU